RNAcentral lists this ribosomal RNA (490 nucleotides) under uncultured bacterium. Its description in RNAcentral is "partial 16S ribosomal RNA". It matches the Rfam family "Bacterial small subunit ribosomal RNA", at positions 30 to 507 of the family's 1533-position model. The record is from RNAcentral.
AUUGAACGCUGGCGGCAGGCCUAACACAUGCAAGUCGAACGGUAACAGGAAGCUGCUUGCUGCUUUGCUGACGAGUGGCGGACGGGUGAGUAAUGUCUGGGAAACUGCCUGAUGGAGGGGGAUAACUACUGGAAACGGAAGCUAAUACCGCAUUACGUCGCAAGACCAAAGAGGGGGAACUUCGAGCCUCUUGCUAUCGACUGUGUCCAGUUGGGAUUAGCUAGUAGGUGGGGUAAAGGCUCACCUAGGCGACGAUCCCUAGCUGGUCUGAGAGGAUGACCAGCCACACUGGAACUGAGACACGGUCCAGACUCCUACGGGAGGCAGCAGUGGGGAAUAUUGCACAAUGGGCGCAAGCCUGAUGCAGCCAUGCCGCGUGUAUGAAGAAGGCCUUCGGGUUGUAAAGUACUUUCAGCGGGGAGGAAGGGAGUAAAGUUAAUACCUUUGCUCAUUGACGUUACCCGCAGAAGAAGCACCGGCUAACUCCGUG